This 77-nucleotide non-coding RNA is filed under the name unclassified sequences. The record is from RNAcentral.
AAUGAAUUUCCGCCGGGAAAACGCUUAUUUUUGCUCCGUUAGGCCGUUGAAGGAGUAAAAAUAGGCGUUUAUUUUUU